CCUACGGGUGGCAGCAGUGAGGAAUAUUGGUCAAUGGGCGUAAGCCUGAACCAGCCAAGUCGCGUGAGGGAUGAAGGUUCUAUGGAUCGUAAACCUCUUUUAUAAGGGAAUAAAGGGUGGGACGUGUCCUGUUUUGUAUGUACCUUAUGAAUAAGGAUCGGCUAACUCCGUGCCAGCAGCCGCGGUAAUACGGAGGAUCCGAGCGUUAUCCGGAUUGGUUGGGUCUAAAGGGUGCGUAGGCGGCCUUUUAAGUCAGCGGUGAAAGUCUGUGGCUCAACCAUAGAAUUGCCGUUGAAACUGGGAGGCUUGAGUAUGUUUGAGGCAGGUGGAAUGCGUGGUGUAGCGGUGAAAUGCUUAGAUAUCACGCAGAACCCCGAUUGCGAAGGCAGCCUGCCAAGCCAUGACUGACGCUGAUGCACGAAAGCGUGGGGAUCAAACAGGAUUAGAUACCCCAGUAGUC
Molecule: ribosomal RNA, 460 nt
Filed under: uncultured bacterium
Lineage: Bacteria
Description: partial 16S ribosomal RNA
Rfam family: Bacterial small subunit ribosomal RNA
Source: RNAcentral